RNAcentral lists this ribosomal RNA (1110 nucleotides) under Triticum aestivum (bread wheat). Its description in RNAcentral is "partial small subunit ribosomal RNA". The record is from RNAcentral. Lineage: Eukaryota; Viridiplantae; Streptophyta; Magnoliopsida; Poales; Poaceae.
AUGGCCGCCCAGGCACCGGCGAUCGAGGUUCCCACUGAUGCCGAGCUGCUGCAGGCUCAGGCCGACCUGUGGCGCCACACCCUCUACUACCUCACCUCCAUGGGGCUCCGAUGCGCCGUCAAGCUCGGCAUCCCGACGGCCAUGCACAAACUCGGCGGGGUCACCUCGCUGCCCGACCUGGCCGACGCGCUGUCCAUCCCCGCGAGCAAGCAGCCGUUCCUCGGCCGCCUGAUGCGCGCGCUGGUCACCUCUGGCGUCUUCGCUGCCGGCGGCAAGGACGAGUCCGGGGCGGAGCUCUUCCGCCUCAACCCCCUUUCCCGUGUCCUGGUGGAUGACGUGGUCGCGGACGAGCACCACAGCCAGACGUCCUUCGUGCUCGCCGGGACGUCGCCGCACUACAUGGAGGCCGCGCUGGGGAUGGCCGACUGGUUCAAGAAGGACGUCGCCGGACCGGUGCCGUCCGUGUUCGAGGACGUGCAUAGCGCGUCCCUCUUCGACGAGAGCACCGCGGCCCUGGACCCGGAGCUCGACGCGCUGGUCACCGAAGGUCUGGAAGCCCACGAUAACCUGGGGAUCGGCACCAUCAUGCGUGAGUGUCAUGACCUCUUCAAGGGGCUUGAAUCACUGACAGACUGCUGUGGUGGAGACGGAAAGACGGCGAGGGCCAUCACCAAGGCCCACCCACACGUCAAGUGCACCGUGCUGGAUCUCCCCAAGGUGAUCGAAAAAACUCCAUCCGACUGCGUAGUCAACUAUGUUGCCGGUGACCUUUUCCACACCGUCCCAAAGGCCCAGGCAGUGAUGCUCAAGCUUGUGCUGCACCACUGGAGUGACGACGAUUGUGUGAAGAUCCUAACCCAGUGUAAGAAUGCCAUUCCUUCCCGUGAGGAAGGAGGGAAGGUGAUUGUCAUUGACAUUGUGGUUGAACCAUCACUAGGACCUGUCAUGUUUGAGGCCCAGACUCUCAUGGACUUGCUCAUGCUUGUCUUCACCAGAGGCCGCCAACGUAGCGAAAAUGACUGGCGUGAUCUCUUCAUGAAAGCAGGCUUCACCGACUACAAAAUUAUCAAGAAACUCGGUGCACGAGGUGUCAUCGAGGUCUACAAGUGA